GGCGAGUGAGCGGCAAAAGCUCAAAUUUGAAAUCUGGCACUUUCAGUGUCCGAGUUGUAAUUUGAAGAAGGUAUCUUUGGGUCUGGCUCUUGUCUAUGUUUCUUGGAACAGAACGUCACAGAGGGUGAGAAUCCCGUGCGAUGAGAUGUCCCAGACCUAUGUAAAGUUCCUUCGAAGAGUCGAGUUGUUUGGGAAUGCAGCUCUAAGUGGGUGGUAAAUUCCAUCUAAAGCUAAAUAUUGGCGAGAGACCGAUAGCGAACAAGUACAGUGAUGGAAAGAUGAAAAGAACUUUGAAAAGAGAGUGAAAAAGUACGUGAAAUUGUUGAAAGGGAAGGGCUUGAGAUCAGACUUGGUAUUUUGUAUGUUACUCUCUCGGGGGUGGCCUCUACAGUUUACCGGGCCAGCAUCAGUUUGGGCGGUAGGACAAUUGCAAAGAAAUGUGGCACUGCCUCGGUAGUGUGUUAUAGUCUUUGUCGAUACUGCCAGCCUAGACUGAGGACUGCGGCUUCGGCCUAGGAUGUUGGCAUAAUGAUCUUAAGUCGCCCGUCUU
This 550-nucleotide ribosomal RNA is filed under the name Lodderomyces orthopsilosis. RNAcentral describes it as "Candida orthopsilosis partial large subunit ribosomal RNA". It matches the Rfam family "Eukaryotic large subunit ribosomal RNA", at positions 88 to 655 of the family's 3401-position model. The record is from RNAcentral. Lineage: Eukaryota; Fungi; Ascomycota; Pichiomycetes; Serinales; Debaryomycetaceae.